ACAGUCACUGACAUUAGAUACCCGCGUAGUCCCAGCCGUAAACGAUGUGCGUUAGGUGUAUCGACGACCACGAGUCGUCGAGGUGCCGAAGGGAAACCGUGAAACGUACCGCCUGGGAAGUACGGUCGCAAGGCUGAAACUUAAAGGAAUUGGCGGGGAGCACCACAACAGGUGGAGCCUGCGGUUUAAUUGGACUCAACGCCGGGAAGCUCACCGGAUAGGACAGCAGAAUGAUUGCCGGGCUGAAGACCCUGCAUGACUAGCUG
This 266-nucleotide ribosomal RNA is filed under the name uncultured archaeon. RNAcentral describes it as "partial 16S ribosomal RNA". It matches the Rfam family "Archaeal small subunit ribosomal RNA", at positions 716 to 982 of the family's 1478-position model. The record is from RNAcentral.